Molecule: small nuclear RNA, 113 nt
Filed under: Musca domestica (house fly)
Lineage: Eukaryota; Metazoa; Arthropoda; Insecta; Diptera; Muscidae
Description: U5 spliceosomal RNA
Rfam family: U5 spliceosomal RNA
About the family: U5 RNA is a component of both types of known spliceosome. The precise function of this molecule is unknown, though it is known that the 5' loop is required for splice site selection and p220 binding, and that both the 3' stem-loop and the Sm site are important for Sm protein binding and cap methylation.
Source: Rfam by way of RNAcentral
UCACUCUGGCUUCUCUUCAGUUUGUCGAAUGAAUCUUUCGCCUUUUACUAAAGAUUUCCGUGGAGAGCACUCUAAAUGAUACACUAAACAAGUAAAACAGCCUUACGUCUUUA